Syzygium oleosum is the source of this 587-nucleotide long non-coding RNA. RefSeq lists it as uncharacterized. The record is from RefSeq and is a predicted model, not a curated record. The transcript has 3 exons. NCBI's taxonomy places the organism in Eukaryota, Viridiplantae, Streptophyta, Magnoliopsida, Myrtales, Myrtaceae.
AAUAUCCUGCAUUUGCUAUUGCGCAGAAACAACCCCAAAGCAGGAUUCCUCUUCCCACCCUAGUUCUUCCCUCGGAGUCUGCGAUGUUCCUGAGGAACUCCUCCCAGAAAUUCGUGAAACAACCCCAAAGCAGGAUUCCUGUUCCCACCCUAGUUCUUCCCUCGGAGCCUGCAAUGUUUGUGGGGAACUCCUUCCAGAAAGUUGUGGUGUGCCUUUUGAAAUUACACAGCGGUGGCUGAGAAGAAUAUCAACCGAAGAUGUUCUUUGGGCUUGGCCUUUGUGGGUUUGGCCUUGACCAAGGCAAUCUGUGUCUCUGUUGGAGUGCUUCCCAUCCUAGAGCUUCAUUGUGCACCUCUCAAUACUUAGAAAAGCUAUGAAGGUUGAUAAGCUAUUUUGCAGUAAUGUCAGAGUCGGAAGAACUGGAUAUUUCUCCUAUUAGCUUGGUGUUUAUGCUUCUUUUAUUAUGCCAGAAAAGGGCGAACUUCCUUUGCGCUUGUAAGUAAAGAUAAGGAAAGUAGUUUGCUUAUGCUUUGCUGAUUGCCAUGUUGUAUUCUGAAUGAGCCCUGCCUAGAAUUAGCAUUCAGCCA